Molecule: ribosomal RNA, 474 nt
Filed under: uncultured bacterium
Lineage: Bacteria
Description: partial 16S ribosomal RNA
Rfam family: Bacterial small subunit ribosomal RNA
Source: RNAcentral
GACGAACGCUGGCGGCGUGCUUAACACAUGCAAGUCGAGCGGUAAGGCCCCUUCGGGAGUACACGAGCGGCGAACGGGUGAGUAACACGUGAGUAAUCUGCCCUUCACUUCGGGAUAACCACCGGAAACGGUGGCUAAUACCGAAUACGACCAGUCUUCGCAUGAGGUGCUGGUGGAAAGUCUUUUCGGUGAAGGAUGUGCUCGCGGCCUAUCAGCUUGUUGGUGGGGUAAUGGCCUACCAAGGCUUCGACGGGUAGCCGGCCUGGGAGGGUGACCGGCCACACUGGGACUGAGACACGGCCCAGACUCCUACGGGAGGCAGCAGUGGGGAAUAUUGGACAAUGGGCGAAAGCCUGAUCCAGCAACGCCGCGUGAGGGAUGACGGCCUUCGGGUUGUAAACCUCUUUCAGUACCGACGAAGCGCCCUGUCGGGUGGUGACGGUAGGUACAGAAGAAGGACCGGCCAACUACGUG